AAAUAUGAACUUAUUAUGGUGCCAAGAUUUCAUUCCAACUUGACUGAUUGAUACAUCCAAAAGUUGGUAUUUUCCACUAGAAAAUGAUCUUAAAAUUUCAGAAAAUAGGAAUCAAGGAAUAAAAAUUAAUAGACCUUACUCUGCCUAAUGUAAACACUUCAAGAUGCUGGGUACAGAUCUGGGUACAGAGAGGAAAUGAACUCUACUGACAUGUGAAACCAUCUUUUCUCUGUUUUCUUUUUGUUAGGCAACAAAACAUUAAUCAGGGCUUAUAGGGUGAAAACUUCAUCUUUGAAGAAGUAUGGUUUUUCCUGGGAUGUUUGAUCUUUUGGGCCAGUCUUCCAGAAGCUGUAUGUACUGGGACUCCACCCUUAACCGAGUCUCACUACUAUUUCCAGGCCUCUCUGCCCAGAGGGCCCUCGGCAGAGGGUGCCAAUCCAGGGCUCCAGCCUCUUUCACAGAGAUGGGCUCCCUUUCCCACCCCACCCCCUGUCACACACACACCCAGGCCACACAAGCAGUGUUUAGAACCAAAGACAGCUCUUUCUUAGUACAUUCAUGAAAGAAUUAGAUUGUUUUGUGCUUUUUCCAGUUGAAUACAAGGAGCAGUUGUUUUUCUAUAAUCUCUGAUUAGUGAGUUUCACUGUGGGAAUUCUCUGCUAUGUAGACAUAAUCUAAUUUUUGUUUAUGAUGCACUAAACCCAGAUUUUUCCCAUUAUAUUUGUUUGCUAAUGAUUUUUGGCAUUGAUAGCUCACAUAGUUCUCAAAGAAAUCUUAUUUAUAUGACCAAACCUAAGGUUUUCCCAACCAAUGGAAUCUCUGAGGUCCCUCAUUCUACUAUAAUUUUCACUUUCUUUCCAUUUGCCUUCUGUUUUUAUGUUAAGCUUUAAAGAUUUAAUAAAAUGUGUAUCUCUUAUCAUCUGGAAGGCUCUGUUACUUCCAAAUCGUGCCCUGUGGCUUCAGUACAAGCCAGUACUGUAACCCCAACCCCACAUACAAUCAUCUGAAAUGACAUAGUUUGGCUUGCAGUGUGUUGGUAGCCUGUCUAGCUGUGCUUAGAUUUGUGCAGUCUAAAAUCAAAAUGUCAGACAUAACCUUGCAUUACCAUCUCUUAUUUCUGUUUAGAAAAUUCAGUUGUCAAUUUGGACUUUUUCCCAACAGUUAUGAAUAUACAACUAGCUGCUAUUCUUGCAGUUACGUUUUUGCAAUUAUGACAUUUUUAUGAAUAAGUCUUUACAUUUCUUAAAUUUCUUAUUAAAUAGUAAGUCAAGAUGUGGCUUGAUAUUUUGAAGUCAAAUCAGUUUUUAAAAAUAAAGUAUUUUUUUAGAACAUAAUUAAGGAGAACUCAAACAUGGAAAGAUUUCAUUGGUGCCAAAUAUGACAAAUGAUAGUUUGGUUUGCUGAACAAACUAAGAUUUCAUAUUAAUGGAAAUAGAGAUUUGUGAUAGGUCAGGAAUUGUCAUGGGUUAGUUUUGGGUUUUUGUUUGUUUUGUUUUUUGGUUUUUUGUUUGUUGUUGUUGUUGUUGUUUUGAGACAGGAUCUCACUCUGUAGUCCAGGCUGGUCUUAACUCUUGGCUAUCCUGCCUCUGCUUGCACCAGCACACCUGGAUGGGAUAGAUAAUUUAAGGAUGUUUGUGAAUCUGCCUACCUGUACAGCCCAUGUUCACCUACUGUCAGGAGACGUGCUAUUUGAUUCUGCCUGCAGUGAACAAUUAAACUGAGUGACCUGCCAAUCAAUUGUCAUUUUUUAAAAUCUAAAAACAACAACGACAACAAUGACAAUGAUCCAGAUGAGAAGCUACUGUGCUCAGAAUUAAAAACAAGAAAAAGAGUGACUAAAUCUUUCUAUUAUUAAUCUCAUCAUAUGCUCUUCAAUUUCAGCAGAAUACCAACCACACAUUAAAUUAAUAUUAGCCAUUUUAA
Molecule: long non-coding RNA, 1923 nt
Organism: Cavia porcellus (domestic guinea pig)
Lineage: Eukaryota; Metazoa; Chordata; Mammalia; Rodentia; Caviidae
Exons: 2
Source: RefSeq, a predicted model, not a curated record